Molecule: ribosomal RNA, 253 nt
Filed under: uncultured bacterium
Lineage: Bacteria
Description: partial 16S ribosomal RNA
Rfam family: Bacterial small subunit ribosomal RNA
Source: RNAcentral
GACGAAGGAUGCAAGCGUUAUCCGGAUUCAUUGGGUUUAAAGGGAGCGUAGGCGGGCUUGUAAGUCAGUGGUGAAAUCUGUGGGCUUAACCCACAAACUGCCAUUGAUACUGCAGGUCUAGAGUACAGUUGCCGUUGGCGGAAUAUGACAUGUAGUGGUGAAAUACUUAGAUAUGUCAUAGAACACCGAUUGCGAAGGCAGCUAACGAAACUGUAACUGACGCUGAGGCUCGAAAGUGCGGGGAUCAAACAGG